GCAGUGAGCCCAGAUCGCGCCACUGCACUCCAGCCUCGGCGACAGAGCGAGACUCCGUCUCAAAAAUAAAUAGGUCCACCCCCGGGAAGCUUCCAGACCCGGCGCCCCGGCCCUGCCCCGCUCUCACACGAACACGUCCCCGUCCACGUCCCCUGCAGCCAGUAGGUCACGGGCCGGAUGGAACGCCAGCCCACUAGCCGGAGCUUCCAGCACGAUGUCUUCCGGAGUGUCCCGGAUCCGGGUUGGGGCUUCCAUGGAGUCUGGGUCCUCCUCGUCGCUCCCAUCCUCAGCGGGCCUCUCCUCACAAGUGCGGUCCAUGCUGAGAAGGACUGCGAGCCGCGCCGCCGCAGGGUAGUCAGCCUCGGAACCACCCACACUGCGGGAGGAGUAGCCUGGCACUCCGCUUCCGCCUCGGGGGGCGGGGCCGGAAGUGUCUCCGGGACGUUCUUCCUCUUACAGGAGAGGUGGGUGGGCCGCUGCUGGUGCGGGUGGAGCGGAGCGAAGAGACCGCAUCUGGGAGAUCGGCUACUUCCUUGUCCUGCUGUGACCCCGUUUGGGCUAGGUAGACGGUGCGACCGUCAAUUCCCUCCCUAGUCACGUCACGUAAAGUUGAGAACUGCGUGUAAAUCUUUCCUCUCCUACUUCAUCCAGACAGGCUUAAUGCCCUUGGGAUAGGAGAGAGGGACGCUAGUCCUUCGUGGCUUGGUGAAACCCAAGAUCAAGUCAAGCGACAGCCUGGGCUGUCAGGAAGCCGCAAAAUCCCACGCUGCGCGAUGACAUACGGGAGUCUGGGACAGCAGGCAGCUCAAGCAGCUGGUGUCCACGCCCCUAACGUCUUUGUGGCCAGUUUGCUGUGCCAGUUCCUACAAUUUGUCUACAGAAACUCAAUGGGCUGGACAAGCAGUGCUCAGUUACCAAGAAUUUUUUUUUCUUUUUUGUUUUGCUUUGUUUUGAGACAGGGUCUUGCGCUGUCGCGCAGGCUGGAGUGCAGUGGCACGAUCACCGCUCGGCUCAAGCGAUCCUCCGAGUAGCUGGAACUACAGGCACGCGGCACCACGCCUGGCUAAUUUUUAUUUAUUUAUUGAGACGGAGUCUCGCCCUGGCUGGAGUGCAAUGGUGCGAUCUCGGCUCACUGCAACCUCCGUCUCCCGGGUUCAAGAGAUUUUCCUGCCUCAGCCUACCGAGUAGAUGGGACUAGAGGCGCAUGCCACCACGCCCAGCUAAUUUUUUGUAUCUUUAGUAGAAACAGGGUUUCACCAUGUUGGCCAGGCUGGUCUCAAACUCCUGACCUCGUGAUCCGCCCGCCUUGGCCUCCCAAAGUGCUGGGACUACAGGCGUGAGCCACCGCACCUGGCCAAUUUUUGUAUAUUUUGUAGAAACGAGGACUCAGUAUGUUGCCCAGGCUGGCCUUGAACUCUUGACGUGUCUUCCCACCUCAGCCUCCCAAAGUGCUAGGAUUAUAGGCGUGAGCCACGGCGCCCAGCCCCUGAAUUUCUUUUUUUAAAUCAAGGUCUUGCUCUGUCACCCAGGCUCAGAAUGCAGUGGUGUGAUCAUAGCUCACUACAGCCUUGAACUCUUCGGUUCGAUCCUCCUGCAUAGCUAUAGACUCAUGAACUCCUGGCCUCAAGAGACUCUCCUGCUUUGGCCUCCCAAAGCACUGAGACUGUGGGCAUGAGCCAUCGAGCCUGGCCUCAGAAACUGAAUUUCAAACCCACAAUCUCCAGGUCUUGCUUUUAGUGACUCUCCAGAUGUCUUCACCUGUGCCAUGUCUCUGUGACCAUUUUUAAUAAUUGGGACUGCCUACCUACAUCCAUAGAACCAUGGUGUCAUUUGUCUGAAAUUAGCCAUUCUAGGUGCUAUUGCAGCAAGGCCCAAUUUCAGCCUCUUACAUGCCAUGCACAAUACUGGCUUCCUCACAAAAACCUGUCCUACCAAGGUGAAUAUAAUCAAAGACAAGGUAAUGGCUAAGGUGACUUUCUAGCUUUCUUGGAUCUGGUGAGGCCACAAAUCUUGGGCUCAGGGUAGACAGUGGCAGCGUGGCAUCCAGCCAGGAAGCAGUAGUGACACCUAAUGAUGAGCACCAGGCCAAAGUGCUGGUAAUGAGCAGAAGGGAAGAAAAGGGAAGGGAAUGGUGUGAUUCAAAGGUCAACAGACCUAUUCUGGGCCUUGGCAAAUGUUUCAGGGUGAUGAAGGGCACCAAACCCUUCUGGUCUAGGAUAGGAAUUCCUGUACCUGCAGGGCCACACUAUAUCAGCUCUAAACCCAAAGCACUUCCCUAAGGUUACACCUUUAGCCAAGGAGACAGUGAUUUGUACUCAACAUUAAUAAAGCUCAUAGUACAUAAACUCAUAAAAGGUUUUGGUUCCCACCCAUAAGUGAUUUUCAUUAGAUGCCUUCAUCCAGAGCCCAGUCCUUCAUAGCCUGGAGAUCAGAUUAGCAGCCCAUCAGGCUGACAGCAAUCCCCAGGAAAUCUUUCCCCAGGGACUAGGCCUGAAGAUGGGCCGGAAUGAGUCUGACAUUUGAGACCAAUCAUACUUACAUUCCUCUAUCCACCUCUUGCCCAUCAGUGAGGAUCAUUAUUCUCUUCUCUACUGGGCACACUGGCUAGAGAGCAUCCUUACUGUCUAGGAAUCUAGAACCACAGCUCAGGAAAGGACUGAUGACUUUCUGCAUGUGAUUUUACACAACCAGUGGAAUUAGUGUUCUUGGUGCUUCAAGGGCACUGGAGGGGACAUGCUCAACAAAGAAAAUAGCAAGUUAACCAAUUUUAAUGGAACCAAGUAAUUACACAAUAAAAUUUUAUAUUCAUCCACAAAAAAA
Long non-coding RNA from Homo sapiens (human), 2820 nucleotides. RefSeq lists it as uncharacterized. The record is from RefSeq and is a predicted model, not a curated record. NCBI's taxonomy places the organism in Eukaryota, Metazoa, Chordata, Mammalia, Primates, Hominidae. The transcript has 2 exons.